Molecule: long non-coding RNA, 2617 nt
Organism: Ictidomys tridecemlineatus (thirteen-lined ground squirrel)
Lineage: Eukaryota; Metazoa; Chordata; Mammalia; Rodentia; Sciuridae
Source: RefSeq, a predicted model, not a curated record
AGUUGCUGGAGUUGCCUCAGAUGACACUCUUUCGCUGACCCGAACUCCAUCAGGGAGUCCUCGAAUGCUAACACCUGGGCUUGCUGCUUCUUCUGCCGUACAGAGAGAAAAGGCUUUAGCUUGUCACUAAGGAUGCAGGGAGAUAUGGCAUUUCGUAUUCCCACUCUGUAAGAAGGAUUCAAAAGAAAGAAUCAAGAGAUGGUUCUUACCUGUCAGAAAGCUUCUUGUGAGGUCAAGAAAAAACACAAAUAUGUAAAGGAUCUAGAUUUUAUGUAAUAACAUGCUAAUGUUUUGACCUCACAUAUUAAGACAAGAUAAUGGACUUGGAAGAAAAUCGAUUUUUGGGUCAUGGUUCUUGGACCAAAUUUGGAAUACCUGGGUAAAGGAAUACUGAAAGGAGUCCAGGUUUUGGAUGUCCUCUGAGUAAAAGGCCUGCUAGCCGUAUUCUUUUAUGCCACGAGGACUUCAGAAUUGGAUCUUUAAUGGAGAUGAUCUCAUCUAAUUUGGAUAUUUAGCACCGGCUCAGAGUCUCUGAGGAAAUUUCUUCAUUCAUAAAACAAGAGGUUUGGAAUAAAUCAUCUUUCUCUGAAGAUUCCCUGAGACAGUUGAAUAACAAAUGACUCUUGCUGAAUGUCACAUGAAAUCUGCAUUUGAAAUCGAAAUCUAACCAUUCCUUCCUAAAAACCAAACCAUCAAGGAGUUCUGAAGCCCCAGAACAGGAGUAGAAAUACUUGAGGAGCAGUAGACUAUGUCCAUGAACCAUGUUCCCUUUGUAACUACAGGUAGUUGUUAGAAGAAGCUGUGCUGACCUCCGAACUCCAGAAGGAAGGUUUUUCUGGAGUCCCGGGAAAUUUAAUUUCCUGCUAAUAUCUUGCACAGAUUUUAGCUGUGAACUGUUUAUAAUCCUAUCUACUUUAUGAAGGCUAAAUUCCAGGAGGAUGCCUUUUGAGUUUCAAUAUGCAGUAGGAAUGGAUUUAAUCUGACAUUUCAUCCAUCAUAGCUCUGCAACCAGGACUGGGGCUGGAGACGAACUGAGAGUCAUAACACUGACCCCUCAGGCACCAUCUGAUCCUAUCCUGGAUCUGAAGUCAUUAGCGAUGGCUGAAAUCACAAGUCCUUGCUGCCAGGUGGGUUUUCAUUCAGACAAGCCAUAUAUUUCGAUGCCCAGUUUUGCUUAUAUAACGGUGGAACCUGGUCACUCUGUUUAGAAGCAUGGGACACCAGCAGAGCUGACAGCCCACAGGCAAAAUGAUGAGUACUGAUACCGCAGUUGCUACCAUAUGCAUGAUAAUUAAAACAGGCUAUUCACGGAGGUAAAUUUCUGUAUUGAUUAAUUAGCUUUUUUUUUUUUGCCAAAUAGCAUGCCUUCUCAAACAUAUUUCAAAAAAGUAAAUAUGUUUUUAGUCUUCAAAGGAUAGUUUCAUAUUUCUUCUUGUGGGGGAGUUGGGGUUAAAUUAAAGCUUGGAACUCAAUAUCAAUUUUAGAGCUCAAAAGCACUCUGUAGAUUCAAAAUGGCAGCAUUCCCAGGGGUUUGGCACUUGAACAAGAUAGCUUGGUGCAACAUGGGCGGCAGUUUUUAGGGUAAUUUUAGAGUCAACCAACAACACCAUCAAUGCUAUCGUCUUUGAGAAAUUAUUUGAGAUAAGGGCAAAACUUCAAUAAACAAUGGGAAGCCAUUUUUUUUUAAAAAACUUAUCACUAAUACCACAACUAUUCAGCAGAUUCCAAUUCAUAGUGAUGGCCAUGCUUUACUGAACAGGAAAGCUUGAAAACUAAAUGUGCUUCAGGAAUCCGUACCUGUCGUGAUAGAGUUUAUAGUUAUCUACAGCAGUUUCCAACACUAAUUUUGAUAUCACUCGAUUUCCAAGUUACAUUCACAUUGAUAGAAACAUUGCAGAUUUCACGUUACAUAUGAUGGAGAUUAAUAGAUACUCACGCAAGGUUUUGCCUGUGAACAAGAAUUUUGCAACAAAUUAAAUGAAAUGAAGGAAUGGACUUCUAGAGAAUCCAUACCAGAUCGCAGUUUCCUGCAAAACGGGCAGCAAAUCCCUUAAGGCUCCUAAUCCAGGAGGCAAGGGGCAGAAAUGCCUGUUUUAGAAGUUGCUCACCUCUUAGUAGGAGGAUUGUUAAAAAGCAUAGGUCAUCUGGGAUACCGCUCUACUAACUAAAACAGGCCCCUUCCAUCCUUUCUGGAAAAAGUCAGGAAAUACAUGUACAGUUUGAUCAAAAUGUUAGACAAAUCAGAGGACUCCGUUUCCAUCUCAUUUCAGAUAAAAAAAUACGUUGGCAACCGUAAGAAACAUUUAUUAAGUGUUGUUUUCCCCGUCGUAUCUCAUGACCCUGCUAGCAAGCCUGUGUCACUGAUAUUUUCUGGGUGAAGCCAAGAAAGCUCAGAGAAAGUCCCAUUCAAUGUCAUGCUGCUAAGAGAUGCGGACCCAGAUCCACCUAGCUCAAGUUUCUGAGCUCUUGAACUCUACGUUCCGCUGCUACUUCUAUCUGUGAUAUUUUGGGAUGCUUAUCCCUGGAAUUUGAGCCAUGAGACUUGGAAAGAAAGGAAGUCCCUCCUAAGCCAGUUUCAACUCCAUGUGUGCGGCCGAGUUAGGAGCCUUACCUGAUC